Molecule: non-coding RNA, 53 nt
Filed under: unclassified sequences
Description: S4-Clostridia ribosomal protein leader
Rfam family: S4-Clostridia ribosomal protein leader
Source: RNAcentral
GAAAGGCCAUGUUUCGGCAUGGCUGGGUACGGUACUUCCGCACCCCAAUUAGG